This 264-nucleotide ribosomal RNA is filed under the name uncultured Ascomycota. RNAcentral's name for it is "partial 18S ribosomal RNA". It matches the Rfam family "Eukaryotic small subunit ribosomal RNA", at positions 619 to 888 of the family's 1831-position model. Lineage: Eukaryota; Fungi; Ascomycota. The record is from RNAcentral.
UUAAAAAGCUCGUAGUUGAACCUUGGGCCUGGCUGGCCGGUCCGCCUCACCGCGUGUACUGGUCCGGCCGGGCCUUUCCCUCUGUGGAACCCCAUGCCCUUCACUGGGUGUGGCGGGGAAACAGGACUUUUACUUUGAAAAAAUUAGAGUGCUCCAGGCAGGCCUAUGCUCGAAUACAUUAGCAUGGAAUAAUAGAAUAGGACGUGUGGUUCUAUUUUGUUGGUUUCUAGGACCGCCGUAAUGAUUAAUAGGGACAGUCGGGGG